Hemicordylus capensis (graceful crag lizard) is the source of this 1057-nucleotide long non-coding RNA. RefSeq lists it as uncharacterized. The record is from RefSeq and is a predicted model, not a curated record. The transcript is spliced from 4 exons. NCBI's taxonomy places the organism in Eukaryota, Metazoa, Chordata, Lepidosauria, Squamata, Cordylidae.
GGACGGGUGUGGCUAGGCCAGGGAUAUGCUUAGAAUCCUGGCAACGAGGCUCUAAAAUAGAGCUCAGACUUAUAAGACCAAGCCAAGACUACAAGAUGAUAUUUUCAUUUAUUGUAUUUGAAGCUUGCUGGAGGACCUUGGGCCAGUCAUGUUUUUUCAGCCUAACCUUCUUCACAGGGUUUCUGCAAGGAUGAAAUGUAUUAUACACUAAGUUCCAUAGAAGAAGCGCAGGAUAGAAAGGUUACCAUGCACUGAAAGGAAUUUGCUGGUUAUGCAUGGGAAUAUCAUCAUAUUCAAAGUACACUGUGAAAACAGGAGACAACAAAAAUGCCACAAUACCUUGAUCCACUACAGUCCAACAGCCUGCACAGUCCUAGUACAAUUAGAUAUAAGCGGAGGUAAACUAAAAGUUAUAAAGAGCUAAGGCUUGAAUACCUGCCUUGAAUUGAUGUAAACUAGCACAGUGGGACUGUGAAAAUUCCUCUCACCACCUCCUCAUCUUCAAAUGGCACCUACACCCAUUUUCCAUAGCUUGCUCAGAAGAACUGCCCUUGAACAAACUGUUCCUUUACAUCUGGUAAAUUAAUGAUGGAACUUUAGAAGUCUUCAAUUUUGGAACAUUUAUGGAGAGUUAAGCCGCAACUGAAAACUGCUUACCGUGUUGCAAUUUAUAUUUUAUUUUGACAGGUUCUUCAUAGGUACGUUUCAAUGUAUGCAUGCAGUAUGCAUUUGAAUCUAAAGAUAUUCUAGGCACCAGAAAUUGUAUUCGUGAUUGGAGUACAGAAGAAAGUAGACUGUGCCAAUUUGCCAUUGCAUUAUGCCAUUGCAAUUAAUGUGUUGACAAGUUUCAGUACCAGCUUUCAGUCCCAUGGAAUGUACUAUAUAAAAAAUAAAUAAACAAAAAACAGCAAAGAGACUUUUUUUAAAGGAAUAUUCAUUUUAUUCCACUAAAAAUUCAUGGUUGACAUCCAGACAUGUCAACCAUGUCUGAAUGCAGCAAUGCUACAUGUGUGCUACUGAGAGCAGGAGCUUUUUCAGAUGGUGACUUUACCUUGAC